RNAcentral lists this transfer RNA (77 nucleotides) under Armatimonadota bacterium. RNAcentral describes it as "Armatimonadetes bacterium (hot springs metagenome) tRNA-Met". It matches the Rfam family "tRNA". Rfam says of the family: Transfer RNA (tRNA) molecules are approximately 80 nucleotides in length. Their secondary structure includes four short double-helical elements and three loops (D, anti-codon, and T loops). Further hydrogen bonds mediate the characteristic L-shaped molecular structure. tRNAs have two regions of fundamental functional importance: the anti-codon, which is responsible for specific mRNA codon recognition, and the 3' end, to which the tRNAs corresponding amino acid is attached (by aminoacyl-tRNA synthetases). tRNAs cope with the degeneracy of the genetic code in two manners: having more than one tRNA (with a specific anti-codon) for a particular amino acid; and 'wobble' base-pairing, i.e. permitting non-standard base-pairing at the 3rd anti-codon position. RNAcentral also lists the same sequence under 1 other name. Lineage: Bacteria; Bacillati; Armatimonadota. The record is from RNAcentral.
CGCGGGGUGGAGCAGCCUGGUAGCUCGUCGGGCUCAUAACCCGAAGGUCGUUGGUUCAAAUCCAACCCCCGCUCCCA